GUGUCAGCAGCCGCGGUAAUACGUAGGGUGCAAGCGUUGUCCGGAAUUAUUGGGCGUAAAGAGCUCGUAGGCGGUCUGUCGCGUCGGAUGUGAAAACCCAGGGCUCAACCCUGGGCCUGCAUUCGAUACGGGCAGACUAGAAUUCGGUAGGGGAGUCUGGAAUUCCUGGUGUAGCGGUGAAAUGCGCAGAUAUCAGGAGGAACACCGGUGGCGAAGGCGGGACUCUGGGCCGAUAUUGACGCUGAGGAGCGAAAGCGUGGGGAGCGAACAGGAUUAGAUACCCUCGUAGUCC
RNAcentral lists this ribosomal RNA (292 nucleotides) under uncultured bacterium. RNAcentral's name for it is "partial 16S ribosomal RNA". It matches the Rfam family "Bacterial small subunit ribosomal RNA", at positions 505 to 796 of the family's 1533-position model. The record is from RNAcentral.